RNAcentral lists this microRNA (23 nucleotides) under Salmo salar (Atlantic salmon). RNAcentral's name for it is "ssa-miR-128-3-5p". Its record names the gene ssa-miR-128-3-5p. RNAcentral also lists the same sequence under 1 other name. Lineage: Eukaryota; Metazoa; Chordata; Actinopteri; Salmoniformes; Salmonidae. The record is from miRBase by way of RNAcentral.
CGGGGCCGGGGCGCUGUCUGAGA